RNAcentral lists this long non-coding RNA (202 nucleotides) under Elaeis guineensis (African oil palm). Its description in RNAcentral is "long non-coding RNA (EGUI_LNC002455)". Lineage: Eukaryota; Viridiplantae; Streptophyta; Magnoliopsida; Arecales; Arecaceae. The record is from RNAcentral.
GUGGCACCUGUAACACUUCAGAACCUUCUCCGAUCUAUCCUUGAAUUUACCUCUCUUCCUAGGUCUUCCUCGCCUCUCAUGAACAACGAAUGCUUUUGAAGUAGAGUCUCCCAUGCAGAUCUUCUCCCACUGCUCGUUUGAUCUCAGGGCACCCACAACCUCCUCAUACUCCAAGGACUUCUUGCUGUAUACCAAGGUUGUG